UGGCUUAAUUUGACUCAACGCGGGGAAUCUUACCGGGUCCGGACACACUGAGGAUUGACAGACAGUUGUCUUUCCCUCCCUUCGGGGUGGGAUUACAAAAGAUAACAGAUCUUUCAUGAUCAUGUGAUGGGUGGUGCAUGGCCGUUCUUAGUUCGUGGAGUGAUCUGUCUGCUUAAUUGCGUUUCAAAUUUUAUAUUUGUUAACAUGCGAGUCUUCAAUGACGGCCGCUCCACCUUAUAGACAUUAUAUGAUAUGCACAUUUGUGUAUUUGAUUAUAACUUGUCUGGAGUCUGGCUCGAUUUUUUUGACUCAAUUGAACGCAACGGACGUGAUUGCAAGUCCUUGUUGAACAAAUUAUAUAUAUACUACUUCAUCAUUAGUAUAUAUAGUUCGCUUCUCAUGUCGUAGCAGUCAAACGGGCGGGCGUCUUAAUUGGCGCGGUCACGAGGCUUAAUAUGCUGCGGCAGGGAAAACUUGGGCGACCGCUGUAAUACUUCUCUCUUAAACCAGAGGAAGAUUGCGGCAAUAACAGG
This 533-nucleotide ribosomal RNA is filed under the name Globigerinella siphonifera. RNAcentral describes it as "bacterial SSU rRNA". It matches the Rfam family "Eukaryotic small subunit ribosomal RNA", at positions 1187 to 1460 of the family's 1831-position model. The record is from RNAcentral. Lineage: Eukaryota; Foraminifera; Rotaliida; Globigerinidae. RNAcentral also lists the same sequence under 1 other name.